GGGCAGUGUUUUGAGCCCAUUUCUGAGACCAUUUCUCCUGCAGCUUAGAUUAUAAUGGGGCAUCAGCUCUGCCUAAGAGGCAACGAGGACAGACCAGACAAUGAUGAAACAGAAACAGAAACAGGUUCCCCAGCUCUGGGGAGAAGGCUCAUUCCCGCCCCCCUCAUCCCCCGCACCCACCGCCGCUGCAAUCUGCAUCUCCGGUAAACAAGUCCCAGGGAAUGUAGUAAAACUCCCGUGGUUUCCAGGAACCUUGUCACACUGCAAAAAAAAAAACCCACAAAAAACAAAAAAACAAACUCUUGGAGGCCCGCAUCAGUGUCUGGGGGUGGGGCGGGGGUUCUCCUUGGAGGACUUUGGAGAGACUUGGAAAUUCUGAGCACAGAUAAUGGAGGCUCCAGGUGCUUGGGUCACAGCCAGGAAAAUCAUCCAAGACGCAGCACGAUGCGGGAAUGGCGCGCAGCCCUGCGGAAGGCGGCCAGGCCCCACAGAUCGGGGACAGGGUUUUCAGAUCAAUUAGACGCAUAAAUUUCUGAUGACUGCCACGGGAUGUUCCGCAUCUCCAUCCAUACUGCGGAGAUGCCGCUAUGAGGAACAACGAGUAACCUUCAAAGGCGGCUGACCCUACUGAUUAAUUACAGUGAGCCCCCACAGCCUCAUAUCAAUAACAGGGAAACGAAGUCAGUUUCUGCUGACUUUUGCUCUCGACAGGUUGAAUGUUGAGUUCACGUGGACACCACAGAAUCAUGAUAUCCUACAGAUUCAGCUACUUGGGGACAUAUUUUAAGCUAGCACUUUCUCCAAAGCCUCUCAGGAAGGCAGCAACUGCUUGUGAGCUAGCAGAGAAAGGUCUGCACAGCCUCAAUCAUUCAUUUCACAAAUGCUGAGACUCGAGGCUGCUGUGUGUCACGCUAGCUCCAAGGUUGCAAAGAGAGGACAGGCCCUAUAUGGAGGAAAGGAUGGGGCCAUGACCACGGUGCCACAGGCUGUAGGCCCCCAAGGACAGCCCUGUGCUGCAUUUGUGACUGUGUCUCUUGCACCUAACAGGAGGCCCAGCAUUUAGCAGAUGCUCAAUAAAAACAGUGACAAAUGAAUAAUACAAUGUUAUGUCUUUGAUAACAGUGAUCUGGGAGUUCAGGGAGAAAGCAGGUAAUUCUGCUUGGGAAUUAAAGGCUUUGAAGAAGGAAUGACAGGUCCCAGCUGGUCUUUGGAAUGUAGGAGGCAAUGGGCAGAGAAGGAAGGGCAGUCCAGGAGGAGGGCAACAAGCAGGAGGGUGUGAUGUGGCAGGAGGUCAGACCCAAAGG
Molecule: long non-coding RNA, 1304 nt
Filed under: Homo sapiens (human)
Lineage: Eukaryota; Metazoa; Chordata; Mammalia; Primates; Hominidae
Description: HSALNT0048663
Source: RNAcentral